AGUAGCCUACGGAGCGCAGCAGUGAGGAAUAUUGGUCAAUGGCCGGAAGGCUGAACCAGCCACGCCGCGUGAGGGAGGAAGGCGCAGAGCGUCGCAGACCUCUUUUGCCGGGGGACAAAAGGCCGGACUCGUCCGGUCCUGAGGGUACCCGGAGAAAAAGCAUCGGCUAACUCCGUGCCAGCAGCCGCGGUAAUACGGAGGAUGCGAGCGUUAUCCGGAUUCAUUGGGUUUAAAGGGUGCGCAGGCGGGCCUUUAAGCCGGCGG
Molecule: ribosomal RNA, 264 nt
Filed under: uncultured bacterium
Lineage: Bacteria
Description: partial 16S ribosomal RNA
Rfam family: Bacterial small subunit ribosomal RNA
Source: RNAcentral